Molecule: long non-coding RNA, 3827 nt
Organism: Oncorhynchus nerka (sockeye salmon)
Lineage: Eukaryota; Metazoa; Chordata; Actinopteri; Salmoniformes; Salmonidae
Exons: 2
Source: RefSeq, a predicted model, not a curated record
AUAAAAAAAUUGAGAUUAUGUAGAAUUUCAAGACAUUUUUUAAAACAUGCAAUAAUUAUUUAAAAAAAAAAUGUGUACUUCUAAUCGAAAAACAGAACAGAUACAUUUUCAGAUAACACUUUGUGUUUUGGGCUCUAAGUUGGCUGUAUACUAGAAAGCAGUGUUGGGGAAUGUUACGUUUAAAAGUAACUUGUUAGGUUACAGCGUUACUGGCAUUAAAAAGUAACCCAUUACCCCGUUACUUACUGUGGAAAGUAACGCGUUAUGUUACCGCGUUACUUACUGUGGAAAGUAACUCGUUUAGUCGUUACAUUACUUUUGCGUUACAAAACCCCAGAAAACUCUCUGAAAAUGUAUUGCGCGUGUUGGUCGUUGUUAUGCCCAGUAGAGAGUGGCUUGCCUAUUUACUAAUCGGUGCUACAAUGAUUUCAUCCGACGUCAUGGGAGCGCUCCAGACCCGAGAUCUCUGUCAGAUUACCAUGAUAGCUGUUUCAGUUGUUUUACUAAAUUUAACCGUGUAUUUUGCAAUAAACAAUGUGUUAUUUUUUAAAUAGCAUUAUUAUUUGGUUGUUGUAACUGUUCCACACAAAAAAAUGCGUGAAGAAGGAAAAACGUGUACACAUUAUGAUAAGAUAUAAAAGCCUACUUAUUAAUAGUCUUUAUUAUUUUCUGGCUUUAAUUAUGUCUAUUUCGUUUCUUUAAAGCUGCCGAAAUGUUGGUUUUGAUUUAUGGACAAUGUCCAAGUGUUCUAACGAAAUUCCAUAUUAAAACUAUCGAAAUGUUUGAUAAAUACGAAAAAAAAAGUGUUGCAUCACAAUUCAAUUCUAUCUUGAUAAAUCCAAGGCACCAUAAAUCAAAACCAACAUUUAGGCAGCUUUAAAGAAACGAAAUAGACAUAUUAAAGCCAGAUAAUAAUAAAGACUAUUAAGUUACAACAAGCCCGACUUGAAAUGUCGACGUGAACAUGUUAAUAACAGUAAACUGCAAACCGCGAAUGCAACUGUCAGAGUAAAUCCUUAAGCAUUGAAAUAAAUGGCAUGCAAUCAAAGGAAUUACUUACAAUCAUCAAAGACGCAGACAUGUUCAUUUAGUUUUCUCUGGGUGACAGGUCGAAACAAAACAUAAAUCUAGAUGUUGCUGUUUUGGAAGCAGAAGCGCAAUCUUCCUCAGCAUCAACAGGAAUCGGAUUCUUGGGUCCUUUUCCACCGGUCUUGUGGAGCUGAGCUUGGCCUGAAUGUGCUUCUUGAUAUUUGAAGUUGACAGGCGCUUAGCCCCGAGACACAGUUUGCGUUGUAUUAUUAUUAUGUUGUUUUCCUUUUCUUUUACAAAUUCUAAAUCAUGUGAAUACUUUCACGUGGUAAAGGCUGGUGGCUCUGCCAUCCUGAUAGUUUCAUGCCACAACGUUCUUGAAGAAACAAGAAGAGCGUGAAUUUAUGGGGAAGGAAUUUUCAUAUAAUAAUUUGUCAAGGGAAAUAAUAUUUAAAUGUAACGAUUCGCUUAUUUGAAAAAGUAUCUUUAAGUAUCUGAUUUCUUAAAUUGAAAAACGAAUAGGUUAAGUUUCUCAUUACCACAAAAAAAAGAAGUAAUUUGAGUAUUCUAACGCGUUACUCGUUACCCCCAACACUGCUAGAGAAGAUGGAGGGAAAACAUCUUCUAGCCACUCGAAACCAGCAAACGUCCUGAUUCAGAUUGAAAUGUGUUUUCAUUGGCCACUCCUUUGCGUGAGCAAAUAGAGCCUUGUGAUUAGAGGGCAUGGCCGUUGGUAGUGUUACUCUUCCUUACUUCAUGUUACAAGGCAGAUGAAGGAAGGAGGGAAGGAAGGAAGGAAGGAAGGAAGGAAGGAAGGAAGGAAGGAAGGAAGGAAGGAAGGAAGGAAGGAAGGAAGGAAGGAAGGAAGGAAGGAAGGAAGGAGAUAAAAUAAAGGGGGGGGAGAGAUGUAUCCUUUCUGUGUCUGUCUGUCACACAGAGAGUCCCAGACCAGGUCAGAAUAGAGCAAAGUCUCUCAACCAUUUUCUGAGACCCAAGUCAAAGGUCAAGGUCUCUCCCAGGUGAUGUCACUUCCUGAUAAUGACGAUGCAAUGGAAAGGCACAGCCAGAGGGGGAUGUACUGUAUAUCCCAGAAUCUGAGCAGUCCAUCACCUUGUAUGAUUUGCCUGAUUUUAAACCCCGGAUUAGCACUUCCCAUCCCCCCUCUGUUCCCCUAGAUCUCCCUUCCUGACCCCUAAAACCACCCCAAGACCCCAGAAAUGCAAUUUUAACAUUCACUUCUACCAAUGUGCCUUUUAGAGUUCAUAUCAUUCAAAUGCGAUGAGGAGGAGACGGACGUUAUCUGAACUUUUUAGGAUUCAAGCUUAGGGAACUGUUAGUUAUUAGGUCUAUGCAGUCAGGUUUUUUCUGACCUGGGAAUUUAAAAAACAGUAAAAAGAAAAAAAAAGUAUUUUGGGAUAAACUGUAUUUAAUUGUACUGUAUGCUUACAUGUAAUUAGAAGGCGUGUCCCUGAAUGGACCUUGUUUUAGUCAGUUGAGCCCCCUGGCGGCCCCAGCACCCCGAGUUUCAGCACCCCUUCCUCUAUUCCAAGUUGCAGCCUGUUUCCAUUGUGAACAACAUGUCUGUUAUUGAGCGUUGUAUUAUAGCUAUCAGCUUUUUAUCAAUAUUGGCUUGUCCGUGAGCCCCUGUAGUCUUCAGUACCAGUGUGUGGUUGUAUGUGUAAAACACAACUUCUUCUCUUUUUUAAUCUUUCUCUUAUUCUUUGUCUGUUCUGGUUUCUGUGUCGAUGAAAAAAAUACUAAACCACGACUUGCUGCCCUUAUGAAAAUUGGACAGCAGCUGUUUUUAAAAGUGGUUUAUGUUAUCCAAUCAACACAAGGCACUGAAACUGGAAAAUAAUCUAUUUGAAAAUCAAUAUAUAUAAAUGUAAAAAUAUAUACAAUAUAUAAAUAAGGAAGGUGCCAGUUUUCAAAGGAACGGUUGUUUUGGGUCAGAUUAAUUAUUUUCUUAGAGAUGGGUGGAAAGUUUGAAGAGGCAUCUCAGUGGUAAUGAGAUAUGAAGGUUUGAAGAGGCAUCUCAGUGUUAAUGAGGUAUGAAGGUUUGAAGAGGCAUCUCAGUGUUAAUGAGGUAUGAAGGUUUGAAGAGGCAUCUCAAGUGUUAAAGAGACGUGACUUGUUCUGCUGUGCCCGUGACAUCACAAUGACUGACUAUGGCACCCCUGACUGGACAAAAGGGACAGGAGUUCCCCAUCAUCCUCCACUCAUUGCUAUUCAGCUGUCAAAGAAAACACACAGACAUUUGUAAAUUGUAUGCAACAGAUGCAAACGUACCAUUAUUUUGAAAUUGUGUAUGUAAAAGUUAUAUUUUUACAUGUAGACUGUUGUUAUUUUGUGUUUAGAUAAUACAUUGUAUCAGUUUUUUUUUUGUUAAAAGAAAAAAAAAGUAAAAUUCGGUGUGUGUUGAAAACGUGUCACAUUGAAAUUGUAGUGAGGUCAAAAGCUUCAGUAUCAUUUUCAGUUUUUUUUCCCCCCAAAACGUUUGUUUAUAUUUCCGGAUUUUUUUUUUUCAAAGAAUGGGAUGCGGGGGGUAAUUGGAAAUCAAAAAGGUAUAUAAUAUUAUUUUCAUGCUCCAUGCUCAUUGCCAUUUUUCAUUGUAUUUUUUAAGAAAAUGUGUAAGUAGUUAUAGCACACAGGGUUCAUGUCCCUUUGGUGGGGGUGGGGUGACGAAUAGCUGAGAGUGGGAAAUGAUUGAGUUGAUUUGAUCCGUUGUAUUCUGCUUGUAAUGUGCCUGGUCAUUCUAGCCAGGUGCCAAUAUUAAUUAAAAAAUGAACGGCAAUUAA